GGCUGCAGUGGGGAAUAUUGGACAAUGGGCGCAAGCCUGAUCCAGCAAUGCCGCGUGAGUGAUGAAGGCCUUAGGGUUGUAAAGCUCUUUCGGCGGGGACGAUGAUGACGGUACCCGCAGAAGAAGCCCCGGCUAACUUCGUGCCAGCAGCCGCGGUAAUACGAAGGGGGCGAGCGUUGUUCGGAUUUACUGGGCGUAAAGGGCGCGCAGGCGGUCUUGAAAGUCAGGCGUGAAAGCCCCGGGCUUAACCUGGGAAUUGCGCUUGAUACUCUGAGACUGGAGUACGGGAGAGGAGAGUGGAAUUCCCAGUGUAGAGGUGAAAUUCGUAGAUAUUGGGAAGAACACCGGUGGCGAAGGCGGCUCUCUGGACCGUAACUGACGCUGAGGCGCGAAAGCGUGGGGAGCAAACAGGAUUAGAUACCC
This 423-nucleotide ribosomal RNA is filed under the name Enterobacter cloacae complex sp. 2DZ2F20B. Its description in RNAcentral is "bacterial SSU rRNA". It matches the Rfam family "Bacterial small subunit ribosomal RNA", at positions 347 to 787 of the family's 1533-position model. The record is from RNAcentral. Lineage: Bacteria; Pseudomonadati; Pseudomonadota; Gammaproteobacteria; Enterobacterales; Enterobacteriaceae.